AUGUUCAAAGUUGUUAUGAGAAUCCCAAAUUUUGUAGCUGGAAGAACUUUGGUUUAUAUGUAUUAUGUCAAUGUUUGUAUCUGUUCUUCUUCUACAUGUUCAUUUAAUUGGUUCCAAAUUACACGCGGGAAGGAACUCCUGAUGAGCUUCACUGAAAAUCUUGAUAAACGCUUUCUUGAUCAUAUAAUGAAGAAAAAUCUUGAUAAGCGUGCUCUUGGUCAUUUAACAAAUUUGAACUCUUCUCCGAGGGCGAUUGCACAGGAAAUGUCUAAUGUCCACAUCAAGCAUUACCAUCAGUGGCGAAGCUACAUGUAA
This 315-nucleotide ribosomal RNA is filed under the name Triticum aestivum (bread wheat). RNAcentral describes it as "partial small subunit ribosomal RNA". The record is from RNAcentral. Lineage: Eukaryota; Viridiplantae; Streptophyta; Magnoliopsida; Poales; Poaceae.